RNAcentral lists this transfer RNA (71 nucleotides) under Danio rerio (zebrafish). It matches the Rfam family "tRNA". Rfam says of the family: Transfer RNA (tRNA) molecules are approximately 80 nucleotides in length. Their secondary structure includes four short double-helical elements and three loops (D, anti-codon, and T loops). Further hydrogen bonds mediate the characteristic L-shaped molecular structure. tRNAs have two regions of fundamental functional importance: the anti-codon, which is responsible for specific mRNA codon recognition, and the 3' end, to which the tRNAs corresponding amino acid is attached (by aminoacyl-tRNA synthetases). tRNAs cope with the degeneracy of the genetic code in two manners: having more than one tRNA (with a specific anti-codon) for a particular amino acid; and 'wobble' base-pairing, i.e. permitting non-standard base-pairing at the 3rd anti-codon position. Lineage: Eukaryota; Metazoa; Chordata; Actinopteri; Cypriniformes; Danionidae. The record is from Rfam by way of RNAcentral.
GCAAUGGUGGUUCAGUGGUAGAAUUCUCGCCUCCCAACCGGGAGACAUGGGUCUGAUACCCAGCCAAUGCA